RNAcentral lists this long non-coding RNA (546 nucleotides) under Capra hircus (goat). Its description in RNAcentral is "lncRNA (ENSCHIG00000006155.1)". The record is from RNAcentral. Lineage: Eukaryota; Metazoa; Chordata; Mammalia; Artiodactyla; Bovidae.
UAAUCCUGUCCUCACUGCCCCCUGCCUCAGAGGGAGCAAGCCCUUUACCUCAAUGCCAGUUGAAGAUCAUUGCAAAUAUAUUAAAUCUGAUGGAAAUCUGCCGCAUUAAAUGUUAGUUACAUAUGAACUGACUUGUUACUAACUAGGUGAUACACUGUUGUGAUUUGUAAGCAUUUCAUUAGAUUUUUAUUUUAUGGUUUAUUUUUCUGUUAUGAUAAUCCAUUUUUAUUUUUCAGGCCUCAAACAUUUUGUGGGACAUUACAAAACUCACGUCCUCUGUGCCCAUGGAACUUUGUGACUCAAACAACCGUGACUGAGGUGCCAGGCUCGCUGGCACUGUGGCAUGUGUUCAAAUCCUUGGUGCUGCUCAGAACCACAGAAGGGCUGGAACUUUUUGAUCACACCAAAGAGGAACGUUUGCGUCAGCAAACUGAAAGCAGAAAUCCCAACUGUCAGAGAUGCUUACACUUUGACAAAAUGUCUGAGUGGAGCGCUUCGUGGCCGACUUUCACCAGGGUCUUAAAUAUAAUUUCUUCAAGGUGUUGA